AUACGUAGGGGGCGAGCGUUGUCCGGAAUGAUUGGGCGUAAAGGGCGCGUAGGCGGCCCGGUAAGUCUGGAGUGAAAGUCCUGCUUUUAAGGUGGGAAUUGCUUUGGAUACUGUCGGGCUUGAGUGCAGGAGAGGUAAGUGGAAUUCCCAGUGUAGCGGUGGAAUGCGUAGAGAUUGGGAGGAACACCAGUGGCGAAGGCGACUUACUGGACUGUAACGGACGCUUAGGCGCGAAAGUGGGGGGCGCAAACAGGAGUAGAUACCCAGGUAGUCCACACUGUAAACGAUGAAUGAUAGGUGUAGGGGGUAUCGACCCCUUCUGUGCCGCAGUUAACACAAUAAGCAUUCCGCCUGGGGAGUACGGCCGCAAGGUUGAAAUUCAAAGGACUUGACGGG
This 396-nucleotide ribosomal RNA is filed under the name uncultured bacterium. Its description in RNAcentral is "partial 16S ribosomal RNA". It matches the Rfam family "Bacterial small subunit ribosomal RNA", at positions 523 to 917 of the family's 1533-position model. The record is from RNAcentral.